RNAcentral lists this ribosomal RNA (512 nucleotides) under uncultured bacterium. Its description in RNAcentral is "partial 16S ribosomal RNA". It matches the Rfam family "Bacterial small subunit ribosomal RNA", at positions 28 to 523 of the family's 1533-position model. The record is from RNAcentral.
GACGAACGCUGGCGGCGUGCCUAAUACAUGCAAGUCGAGCAAAUGGAAGGGAACUUGCUCCCUGAAGUUAGCGGCGGACGGGUGAGUAACACGUGGGCAACCUGCCUGUAAGACUGGGAUAACUUCGGGAAACCGGAGCUAAUACCGGAUACGUUCUUUCCUCGCAUGAGGAAAGAUGGAAAGAUGGUUUCGGCUAUCACUUACAGAUGGGCCCGCGGCGCAUUAGCUAGUUGGUGGGGUAACGGCCCACCAAGGCGACGAUGCGUAGCCGACCUGAGAGGGUGAUCGGCCACACUGGGACUGAGACACGGCCCAGACUCCUACGGGAGGCAGCAGUAGGGAAUCUUCCGCAAUGGACGAAAGUCUGACGGAGCAACGCCGCGUGAGCGAAGAAGGCCUUCGGGUCGUAAAGCUCUGUUGUCAGGGAAGAACAAGUGCCAGAGUAACUGCUGGCACCUUGACGGUACCUGACCAGAAAGCCACGGCUAACUACGUGCCAGCAGCCGCCGUAA